Molecule: ribosomal RNA, 422 nt
Filed under: uncultured bacterium
Lineage: Bacteria
Description: partial 16S ribosomal RNA
Rfam family: Bacterial small subunit ribosomal RNA
Source: RNAcentral
AAUUUUGGACAAUGGGGGAAACCCUGAUCCAGCCAUCCCGCGUGUAUUAUGAAGGCCGUCGGGUUGUAAAGUACUUUUGGCAGAGAAGACAAGGUAUUUCCUACUACGAGAUACUGCUGACGGUAUCUUCAGAAUAAGCACCGGCUAACUACUUGCCAGACGCCGCGGUAAUACGUAGGGUGCAAGCGUUAAUCGGAAUUACUGGGCGUAAAGCGUGUGUAGGCGGUUCGGAAAGAAAGAUGUGGAAUCCCAGGGCUCAACCUUGGAACUGCAUUUUUAACUGCCGAGCUAGAGUAUGUCAGAGGGGGGUAGAAUUCCACGUGUAGCAGUGAAAUGCGUAGAUAUGUGGAGGAAUACCGAUGGCGAAGGCAGCCCCCUGGGAUAAUACUGACGCUCAGACACGAAAGCGUGGGGAGCAAACA